This 441-nucleotide ribosomal RNA is filed under the name uncultured bacterium. RNAcentral describes it as "partial 16S ribosomal RNA". It matches the Rfam family "Bacterial small subunit ribosomal RNA", at positions 338 to 795 of the family's 1533-position model. The record is from RNAcentral.
CCUACGGGGGGCAGCAGUGGGGGAUAUUGCACAAUGGGGGGAACCCUGAUGCAGCGACGCCGCGUGGGUGAAGGAGUGCUUCGGCAUGUAAAGCCCUAUCGGCAGGGAAGAAGCAAGACGGUACCGGACGAAGAAGCCCCGGCUAACUACGUGCCAGCAGCCGCUGUAAGACGUAGGGGGCGAGCGUGAGCCGGAUUCACUGGGUGUAAAGGGAGCGUAGACGGCCAUGCAAGCCAGGGGUGAAAGCCCGGGGCCCAACCCCGGGACUGCCCUUGCAACUGUGCGGCUAGAGUGCGGGAGGGGCAGGCGGAAUUCCUGGUGUAGCGGUGAAAUGCGUAGAUAUCAGGAGGAACACCGGCGGCGAAGGCGGCCUGCUGGACCGCGACUGACGUUGAGGCUCGAAAGCGUGGGGAGCGAACAGGAUUAGAUACCCCAGUAGUC